UCGAGGGCUCAGGGAGGGCAGAAACCGAAACCACACGCUUUGGCAGUGCAUUCUUUGACGCGUGUUUUCUCUGCAGUGGGCGAUAGUGGGAAGUGUUCGACGCUGUUAGUAUAAUGGCUGUGUGCUUAGGCUUGCGUUUACUGGACUCUUUUGCGUAAUAACUGCACAUUAUUUGCAAAAACGGUGCGUCUCUUCCAUGCUCAUUCUGCUGCGGGGGAAAGCCCACUUUACACUUGCCUUUGCUCGCCGUCAUGUCGUUGUCUCUCACCUUGUCCUCUGUUUGACAGACGGACACGCAUGCAUUUCGAACGAGUAUGUCAAUUGUCAGCGCUUCUAAUGGAGUUCUCGCAUUCAUGGUGUCCACCAGCUGGUUUACCUGGUCCACAAAUGCAACAGAUGCAUGACAGUCUGCUAGACUGUUAUGAUGUGGCUGAUAGUGCUGCAUUGCUUUGGAGACACUGUCACUGAAGAACUACAUGGAAAGUAAAAAAGGGAAAUAUAGUAGCUGAACGGUUGUUGUUCUGUGAACAAAUGUACCAAACACACAAAUUUGAAAAUGCAAUGGGUACUAGAGAUGUGAGUGCUAUCAACACUGUUUUAACUCUUACAGCCCUUGUACUCUUCAUAGUGACAAACCACGUAGUGAACACAGAGGCAGAGGACAAGAUAGAGUCCAACGUCCUGGUGACUUCUUCGCUCACCUGGAAUGCCAUGGCAACAUUCAUCUUUUGGUAUGGUCGGGGAUUGACAUGAUCGGGUGUCAGCUUAGGGCAAGCUUUUAAGGCUGUUCCUCAGACACUUUAUCAGAUGUGAACCAGAGCCGCCUUGCAAAGUCACUGGGAUGAGUGCAGCUAACUGCACUGGUGUCAACUCCAAAGUGAGUCCACAUGUUCCGAUUCCAUGAUGCCCCGUCUGUUGUGACGACAUCAACCAAAAGACCUGCCCUCUCCAGGAGUAACACACACUCAAGGACAAGUUUGUAAAGAACAUUUCCAGGCACACUUCCCUUGCCAAGAAAGCAUGCCAAGGCUUGCACCCACUUGCCUCGGAAUGGCUGGAACAUGAAGACAAGUGCAUGAUCUCCCUUUUUGUUCUUCUGAUGGUCAGGUGUGUAUUGACCCAAGUUGGUGAAGCCGUGAAGCUUAAGUGAGGACUUGUCUAGUGACACAGCCUCCGUCAACUUCAUUUCAUCAACCAGGAGUGCGCCUGAAAUCGUAAAUUUUCCUAACAUUCAAGCGUGUUGCUUGGAAGUGCUGAAUAAGGACCCUCUCCUAUGGAAACAGGGACCGGUUGAGACAGUGAACGUAUCAUGAACGGAAUGGCUUUCCUUUGUGUGUGUGCAUGCCCACAGCGAGACUCUCGCCUAUUCGGCCUUCAGCUUAACGACCCAGCUUAAUAGUGUCAUCUCCCAUUAUCCCUCAUAUGUAACGACAGAUGAGACUAUCAUGGUGGGCAUAAGACAUACAACUUGUAAUGACCUAAUAGCAUAUGGUAAGCAGCAUAACUCUUCUGCUAGACAGAGUAAUUGGGAGGUCAGGAACUGGGAAGGUGCAUGUGGACACUGCCUUAUCACUUCAAUGCAGUGGGUUACGAAAACAAAGGAAUAACAAUAUAAAAUGGAACAUUUCGGUGCAGAGUUGUGCCCUUUUGUUCUGAUAUUAUUUUCUUUUUGUAGACCAUGGAUCGAAGUGACAAAGGACAUGACGCAUGCAUCCUGGUCUCUUUUAAGCACCAUGGACAUUCAAUAAACCGUGACAUGAAAUCUAUUCAGUUAUCUCAAAUAAUGCACCAUGACAUACCAUGCUUGUCCUCAGAUGCCAUAGCACUUGAGCGGAUCUUUAUGCACUCGAAGAUGCUCUCCUGAAAUCCGUAUAUUCCCUUCACCUUGCUAAUGUAUGUGUUGAGGGUAUCAACGCAGGGCAGAGGGAGCAGGUCUCUGGAUUGAAGGUGCUUGUACAGUGCCAGGCUUUUUAUCCUCAUCAAAAGGCACUCGUAUACCCAUUCCAUUGUGUAGCGGCGACCUUUUGGGCCCUUUCGUCUCGCGUUGCUGAAACACUGUCGAACGGCUUCUUUUUGUGAAUCAGGGAGACCGUCGAUAGCAGCUUCAAUUCUUUCGUUUGGCAAGUUUGCACACUUUUGUUUCAAGCAGUUGACUUUUUGCUGCAGCUUAACCACCUAGCAAUGCAAAACAUAAGCCUUUGGAGUCGUAUAUUACUGCUAUUAUUAGGAUUAGCCAUCCAAGGUUUGAACUACAGACGAGGGUUAAACAUGUAAACUAUUUCUUAUUUACCGUUUUUCGAAGACCUCUUUUCUGCCUGGUUAGAUCCCUUCUGGUGAGUAACGCUGGUCGUCCUCGUCCUGGUUUGGUAGUACGCUUCUUUAGGCGACUUUUUUCUUUCUCUCUACGUGUGUCUUGUCGGCAACUCGAACACCUCGUAAUCUUUGGACCCCUGGAAGUGCCUUCUGCUUCCACAUAGUAGCCUAGGCAGUUUUCUGAAAAUCUUUUUUGGAACAAGCCCAUUUACCACACAACAUUUCACUUUUACCGAUCACGAAUAACUGUUGUUACAUUCAGCAUGAGCGUUCCCUACCUGCUUGCUCCUUUUACUCCAGGACACAGGCAAGCCUCGUCCACGGUUUGAAGUGCAGAGGAUACAUCAGAACAUGACAGCACCUUCCUGUCACUAACUGUAGGCAUGUGAACAGGCUUUUGGUUCAUGAAGACUAGUGGUUGCAGGGUUUCCUUUAGGGCCAUAUAUUUUGUGACUGACAGUUCCUCAUUCACGUAAACAAAGGCAAUGAAUUUGCCCUGCAUGUCAACUGCAGUGGCCCAUUGACUGUUUGGCUUUUCCAUGCCAGUGGCUUUGCUCAAGAUCUUCUCAAAAAUGCUGUUGUCAUCUUGGUUGCUUGCUUGAUUCAAGCUAUCAUCAUCGUGAGAUGGUGCAGGCAUAUCACCUUCAUAAUGAGAGCAACUCGGUUGUGGCUCACUGCUUGCAGCACGUCGCUUUUCGGGCACGGGCCUGUCUGUUGGUGGUCUUCGUUUCCCCUCCCUUUGCUUUCUUUCGGAAGUGUUGGCGAAGAGACAUGGUACAGCAUCCUUCUUGAGCACAGGCUUGCUUCGUUCCAGUUUGUCUAUGGUGCCAUCCCUCAGUGUGGUGGUGUAAUACCUCUCAAUGUCAUCCUCUCGAAAGUGAAGGAUGCACACCUUGUCAGUUUUUAGCUCCUUGUCAAGCCUUGGAAUUGCUGCCUUCCAUUUGUUGAACAGCUCUUCAUCCUAGGGAGCAGUAACAUUACAGAAGGAGCACCAUAAAUACCAUGGAAUCAUACAUGGGCUUUGAGAUUAGGCAUGUCAGAGACCAUGGCAUUUCAAAAGAAAAGUAACUGAGUUGGGAAAACUCAGUUACCUUUGCUUUCUUCACUUAAAGCGGCAAAAAAAUCCCCAGUGGUGAGUAAAACACAAAGACAAUGACAAUACGCGGGACGAGCACUGAGCUUCAGAAGCUGUGGGUAUUCCCACAUGGGUCAAAAGCAAUACUUUCCAGCAACCUUCGUCACAGCUCAGAAAACAUGUAUAAGGAAGAUUAAUGAAGAUAAGAAAGGCAUAUGUCCCUGCUUUUAGCUUUAUCGGUGAAUGUCACUCUCUAUUCCUGGCCAGAUAUUCACUUGGUAAGGGCCACAAAAAUAAGGCACACAAACCACCACUACGAUAUCGUGGGCAUAUAUGUUUAUUGAUAACCGUUGCAACCCCAAAACAAUGACCAAGGAAAUGCUGCAAAUCUCAGGAGUGAAUGAAUUCCUUUGCUAGUUCAGUUUAUGUCUUUGUAUUGAGUGUAAUGAAAUGGCAAACAAAUAAUAGUUUGUUUAGUCAUUCACUUAAUGGUAUUUGAUGGUUUUCCCCAACCGCAGCAGCUAGUGAGAUCUCGUUCCUUUCUUUGUUGCAGAUAGCCAAGAUAAAUAACAUUCAGCUCCCAUCACUCAAGAAUUGAAGUCACUGAUUCUUGCACAAGUAGCAGUAGUUGCGUGUUUUGCUUAGUUUGGUAAAGACUAAUGAAAUAAAACACGAAAUAACAAUAUAUACAUUCGUACCCGUGUUAUUACGUGCUUUCAUUAUUACCGUGUGACCUAUUGCGCACUUUCAUAAUUACGAUCGACUUGAGCGUAUUACAGACUUCCUUCCGUUUUACAUCACAAACCUUCCCCCAUCUGAAUACAUUACUCGCUCUAUCUGCAUAUUAAAAUGCACUACAGCUUUCGCACUAAUGGUCUUUGACUCAUUAGACACACCAUCACGUUCUCCCUACACAUAUGCAUGAAGUAUUCUAUACUAGUUUCAGUAUAUUUUAUGCCCUUGCUCCAACUUUCUCGUAGUGUGCACAUGCAUCCAGUGAGAUAUACAAAUUACACUUUCAGUUUCUUACCUUGGGUACGCUGAAGAGCCUAGGAUUCUUCUCUCCUUUCUCCUUGUUCCUCUUCUUCGCAAGGGAAUUCCCCGUCUCGCAUACUGGUACAAAGCAGUUCCUACUCAUUUUCACGAGAAGUGCGGCACUAUCUUUUUAAAGUACGAUGUUGCGCAUCAUCUGCCAACAACUUUCAAAACUGCUAUCAAACAUUUAAUCUGACAGCCAUGCACAUACGACAUCAAUGGUCCGUCAGACGAAACAAGAAAAUGACUUUCAACUUUCAGGUAAGAUCGAGGAACCAGUUGUGCGUGUGGAGCGCAAACCAUAAAACUAUAAACUCCGACUUAAUCCAUAACAAGGCCGAGACACCAACAGAACUCAUGAGAACUCACUUUAUUAUAACUUUCGCUUGAUAUGGGUUCUCAAACAUGCUUUCCAAUCAGUUUUCGUUCUUUAUUUGUCGCAUCGCAAUGUGUUUCUUCAGUCACCAAAACCGAACUAAUUGCCACAAUCACAUUUGCGCAUAUCGCAUGUUUCACACGAUUAAGUUCAUAUACUUUGAUAUUUUUUUAAAAAGAAAUCCCUGGUUGAGUGCUUCAUGCGCGGGGCCCAAUAAGGCGGUCGCCUCGCCCCCCCACCCCCCCAGCCCCUUAUCGCCGGCCCUGUUUUGAGCCGAAUGUCUGAAGCUUCCUUUGAUGAUGCAGUUGGUCUCAAUAUCAUUUCGAAGUUUUUUACAGCUGAUGUUUGGGCUGCUUAAUUUUCUAUAAGUUGUGCGUACGAAGAGAUGCAAUAUGAAGUGGAAGUGCAAUUUGUGCAGGGAAACUCUGGAUGCUCAAUCUACUUGAUGCGACUCAUAUGCCUGCUCUGGUAUAUUAUUUGUGCACGUCCAUCUAAAGCAAGUCUCACAAGUGCAGCUCCAUGAGAAGUGCAGUAGAAAAUAAAUUGUCCUGAUUGUUCUACUCCCAUCCCUGUACAGAUAGACAGUUUACUGCAACAAAGUUAGUGCAAGAUGGGCAACUUGAAGACAGAGGGGACAAGUUGAGGUCACUUCAGUCCUUUGCAAAGUGUAACAUCAGGAUGGGGAGAGUUGAUGCCUUUGCUUAGAAUUUGAAAUUUUGUAAGACCCUGCACAGUAUGCAAUAAAAUGGAUCCUGUCUGCUGGGAUGGAG
Ornithodoros turicata is the source of this 5569-nucleotide long non-coding RNA. RefSeq lists it as uncharacterized. The record is from RefSeq and is a predicted model, not a curated record. Lineage: Eukaryota; Metazoa; Arthropoda; Arachnida; Ixodida; Argasidae. The transcript is spliced from 3 exons.